Molecule: long non-coding RNA, 1085 nt
Organism: Exaiptasia diaphana
Lineage: Eukaryota; Metazoa; Cnidaria; Anthozoa; Actiniaria; Aiptasiidae
Exons: 2
Source: RefSeq, a predicted model, not a curated record
CUCUCCCUUAACAAAAGUAUAUUUUUUCAUUUUUUACCRARGUUUAUUUCAAGCAUAUUUCUUUAUGCAUAAUAUUAUUGGAUUCAUUGMCUCAAAGAUUCUGGGAAACACGGCCAUUUUCUUAUUGUYGUGCGGGAUCCCUGUGGUAUAGAAUUCAGCUGUGUAGUGUCCAUCUUGUUCAGUCGACAACAGUAGUGGACAAAAAUUUUGAAGACAACCAAAUGGCAGCUCAAGGCGACAAGCAACCAGAAAGGCCAAAGUCCCCACCACCAGGUUAUCAAAAAGUUAAGGGUGAAGCUUGGGAGGGAUGCCGUAAAGUAACAAAUCGCAGACCUGUAAACAAGCAUACUGGUGUGUAUGCUUAUCACUGUGAUGACUGCAUGUGUGGAAUGGCUGGCUGGCCAUGCUAUAGAGAUGGCCGUAUAUGGAGCUGUUGUGGACAGACUGAGAAGUAUUGCAUGUGUACAAAGAAAAAAUGAUGAAAGCCUUGGAUUUUAUCAUGGAACAGUUUAUCAAUUUAAAAAUUGAUGGCUGAAUAGUUCCUGAAAAUAAUAUUAAGUAAUCAUAAUAACACUUAAGUCUUCACCAUGCUGUGGCCCAGCUGUGCCAGAGGGAAAUUGGCAGGGUGAGGGCAGAGCUCCUCUGGGGUGAGGGGAGGGGUUCAAUCAACAAGGACACAUUAUGUAAAUAAAACAAAAUGGAUAACAAUAAUGUAUCUGCUUGAGCUAUAGUGUUCUAUGUUUGAGUUUCUAGAACAACUUUGCCUCAGAAGACACUCCACGUUUAAAAUAAUAAUUUAAUUAUACUAAUUCUGUAACAURAAGUUAUUAGAAUAUAAUCAAAGAAUUUUUUAUUCACAGUUGAUAAUUACUUAUCACACAAAAUUAAUGAUCUUGCAGAGCAUUCAGGCUAAAUACAAUAAUAUUAUAUAUAAAGCUCAAAGGAAAACAAAAAAAUUACUGAAUGCAUAAAGCUGUACUAGUCUAUUAUAAUACUGUUUACUAAGUCACUUUUAUAUUGUAAUUGUAAUAUUUUUCCCCCCUGUCUAACUAGCGCUAUUUUUUAAUAAAAUUGAUACUAGAUUA